This 38-nucleotide transfer RNA is filed under the name Roscoea tumjensis. RNAcentral describes it as "partial tRNA-Phe". Lineage: Eukaryota; Viridiplantae; Streptophyta; Magnoliopsida; Zingiberales; Zingiberaceae. The record is from RNAcentral. RNAcentral also lists the same sequence under 25 other names.
AUAGCUCAGUUGGUAGAGCAGAGGACUGAAAAUCCUCG